Molecule: ribosomal RNA, 206 nt
Filed under: uncultured bacterium
Lineage: Bacteria
Description: partial 16S ribosomal RNA
Rfam family: Bacterial small subunit ribosomal RNA
Source: RNAcentral
AGCGCAGGCGGGAAACUAAGCGGAUCUUAAAAGUGCGGGGCUCAACCCCGUGAUGGGGUCCGAACUGGUUUUCUUGAGUGCAGGAGAGGAAAGCGGAAUUCCCAGUGUAGCGGUGAAAUGCGUAGAUAUUGGGAAGAACACCAGUGGCGAAGGCGGCUUUCUGGACUGUAACUGACGCUGAGGCUCGAAAGCGUGGGGAGCAAACA